This 84-nucleotide transfer RNA is filed under the name Thermoleophilaceae bacterium. RNAcentral describes it as "tRNA-Leu". It matches the Rfam family "tRNA". From Rfam's summary of the family: Transfer RNA (tRNA) molecules are approximately 80 nucleotides in length. Their secondary structure includes four short double-helical elements and three loops (D, anti-codon, and T loops). Further hydrogen bonds mediate the characteristic L-shaped molecular structure. tRNAs have two regions of fundamental functional importance: the anti-codon, which is responsible for specific mRNA codon recognition, and the 3' end, to which the tRNAs corresponding amino acid is attached (by aminoacyl-tRNA synthetases). tRNAs cope with the degeneracy of the genetic code in two manners: having more than one tRNA (with a specific anti-codon) for a particular amino acid; and 'wobble' base-pairing, i.e. permitting non-standard base-pairing at the 3rd anti-codon position. RNAcentral also lists the same sequence under 1 other name. The record is from RNAcentral. Lineage: Bacteria; Bacillati; Actinomycetota; Thermoleophilia; Thermoleophilales; Thermoleophilaceae.
GCGGCGGUGGCGAAACUGGCAAACGCGAUGCACUCAAAAUGCAUUGCUCGAAAGGGCUUGCGGGUUCGAGUCCCGCCCGCCGCA